UGUGAAAUACUUAGGCUGUGA
RNAcentral lists this non-coding RNA (21 nucleotides) under Caenorhabditis elegans. Lineage: Eukaryota; Metazoa; Nematoda; Chromadorea; Rhabditida; Rhabditidae. The record is from RNAcentral.